RNAcentral lists this ribosomal RNA (824 nucleotides) under Usnea cornuta. RNAcentral's name for it is "eukaryotic LSU rRNA". It matches the Rfam family "Eukaryotic large subunit ribosomal RNA", at positions 22 to 861 of the family's 3401-position model. The record is from RNAcentral. Lineage: Eukaryota; Fungi; Ascomycota; Lecanoromycetes; Lecanorales; Parmeliaceae.
UACCCGCUGGAACUUAAGCAUAUCAAUAAGCGGAGGAAAAGAAACCACCAGGGAUUGCCUUAGUAACCGGCGAGUGAAGCGGCAAUAGCUCAAAUUUGAAAUCUGGCUCCGUCGGGGUCCGAGUUGUAAUUUGUAGAGAGUGUUUCGGGUGAGACCACGGUCUAAGUCUAUUGGAACAUGGCGUCAUAGAGGGUGAGAAUCCCGUAUGUGACUGUGGCUCGAGCCCAUGUGAAGCCUCUUCGACGAGUCGAGUUGUUUGGGAAUGCAGCUCAAAAUGGGUGGUAAAUUUCAUCUAAAGCUAAAUACUGGCUGGAGACCGAUAGCGCACAAGUAGAGUGAUCGAAAGAUGAAAAGCACUUUGGAAAGAGAGUCAAAAAGUACGUGAAAUUGUUGAAAGGGAAGCGCUUGCAACCAGACCUGUCCGUAGGUGAUCAGCCGCUGUUCUCAGCGGUGCACUCGCUCUGCGAUCAGGCCAGCAUCGGUUUCGGCGGUCGGAUAAAGGCCUUGGGAAUGUAGCUUCCUUCGGGGAGUCUUAUAGCCCUCGGUGCAAUGCGGCCAGCCGGGACCGAGGACCGCGCUUCGGCUAGGAUGCUGGCGUAAUGGUUGUAAGCGACCCGUCUUGAAACACGGACCAAGGAGUCUACCAUCUAUGCGAGUGUUUGGGUGUUAAACCCAUGCGCGGAAUGAAAGUGAACGGAGGUGAGAACCCUUUAGGGCGCAUCAUCGACCGAUCCAGAUGUCUUCGGAUGGAUUUGAGUAUGAGCAUAGCUGGUGGGACCCGAAAGAUGGUGAACUAUGCCUGAAUAGGGUGAAGCCAGAGGAAA